GUAGUCCACGCCGUAAACGAUGGAUACUAGCUGUUUGGUAGCAAUACUGAGUGGCUAAGCGAAAGUGAUAAGUAUCCCACCUGGGGAGUACGAACGCAAGUUUGAAACUCAAAGGAAUUGACGGGGGCCCGCACAAGCGGUGGAGCAUGUGGUUUAAUUCGAUGAUACGCGAGGAACCUUACCAGGGCUUAAAUGUAGGUUGACAGGCUUGGAAACAGGUUUUUCUUCGGACAACUUACAAGGUGCUGCAUGGUUGUCGUCAGCUCGUGCCGUGAGGUGUCAGGUUAAGUCCUAUAACGAGCGCAACCCCUGUUGUUAGUUGCCAGCGAGUAAUGUCGGGAACUCUAACAAGACUGCCGGUGCAAACCGUGA
This 372-nucleotide ribosomal RNA is filed under the name uncultured bacterium. Its description in RNAcentral is "bacterial SSU rRNA". It matches the Rfam family "Bacterial small subunit ribosomal RNA", at positions 790 to 1167 of the family's 1533-position model. The record is from RNAcentral.